AACGAACGCUGGCGGCAUGCCUAACACAUGCAAGUCGAACGAGAUCUUCGGGUCUAGUGGCGCACGGGUGCGUAACGCGUGGGAAUCUGCCCUUUGGUUCGGAAUAACAGUUGGAAACGACUGCUAAUACCGGAUGAUGACGAAAGUCCAAAGAUUUAUCGCCAGAGGAUGAGCCCGCGUAGGAUUAGCUAGUUGGUGUGGUAAAGGCGCACCAAGGCGACGAUCCUUAGCUGGUCUGAGAGGAUGAUCAGCAACACUGGGACUGAGACACGGCCAAGACUCCUACGGGAGGAAGAGGUGGGGAAUAUUGGACAAGGGGCGAAAGCCUGAUCCAACAAUGCCGCGUGAGUGAUGAAGGCCUUAGGGUUGUAAAGCUUUUUUACCCGGGAUGAUAAUGACAGUACCGGGAGAAUAAGCUCCGGCUAACUCCGUGCCAGCCGCCGCCGUAA
This 449-nucleotide ribosomal RNA is filed under the name uncultured bacterium. RNAcentral describes it as "partial 16S ribosomal RNA". It matches the Rfam family "Bacterial small subunit ribosomal RNA", at positions 29 to 523 of the family's 1533-position model. The record is from RNAcentral.